RNAcentral lists this long non-coding RNA (19769 nucleotides) under Triticum aestivum (bread wheat). RNAcentral's name for it is "long non-coding RNA (TAES_LNC010799)". The stretch from base 15025 to 15139 matches the Rfam family "MIR1120/MIR1122 microRNA precursor family". The record is from RNAcentral. Lineage: Eukaryota; Viridiplantae; Streptophyta; Magnoliopsida; Poales; Poaceae.
GGUUUGAUUCUCUCAGAAAAAUUGACCACGGACGGGCAUGUCAUCGAAGCUCCAAAGUCCAUGUUGCCAACGACAUCCCGAGGCACAUCAAAAUUCAAUAGGCUAUUAAUCAUCUCAUCCACGCUAUCAUCCAUAAGAUAUCUCAUCCAAGGUUCCAAAUUGACACCAUUAUUCUCCAUAACAGGAGGCACCACUGAGUUGUUGGUGUUACUCUUGAUAGGUGUGGAUCCUUCUCCUUCAGCAAUGGUUGAAAUGGGAGCAAUGGAUGAUAUAUCAGGAGUCUUGGUGUAAUAAUCUCGGCCCAAUUUAGAACAUCCAAAGGUGUUACUUCUCCGGUCAUAGUACAUAUUCAUAGCAGGAACUUCAACAGGGGUAACAGAGCUCAUUGCAGGAACAAAUGGCAUGUUGUCAAGCCGAACAAGUGGCUGGUUUGAUGUGAAGUUAGCAGAUGGGUAGAAGAAAUCAUUUUGGUUGGCAAGGUUGUUGAGUGCUGGUAUGAAACUAUGUUCGUGUGUUGUGCUUGGCUUGGGUACUUUAGGAAUAACAUGGAGAACACAGCGGUCCUGAGGAAUUGUUGGUUCAUCUGGAAAGUUAAGCUUGGCCUUCUUGCCACGGAUCCUAUGUGCUUCAACAUCAUAAGCUCUUGCAGCUUCUUCAGCACUGUUGAAAGUACCAAGCCAAACACGGGCACCCUUAAUAGGAUCUCUGAUUUCAGCAGCCCACUUACCCCAGGGGCGUUGCCGGAUGCCCCUGAAUUGGUUUUUUCUCUUCCUUUUUCCUGGCCUUUGUGCGGGGCCAUCAAAACCAGCAAUAGUCCUGGUGCUCAAGUCAUCUGCAAUGCAAGAUCAAUGCCAAUGCUAACAGAGAUGAAUAUAGAAAAGCUUGUCUCACAAAAAGUAAUUAAUUUCAUCAUGUACAUGAAUUCAUAUGUAUAAUAUCACUAUUGUUAUGAAUACUAAACCAUCAUGGGUGCGAUCCUCUUCACGUUUCGGUGAAAGCAUUAGUCACCCACAAAAUAAAUUAAAUUACAACUUAUGGACAUGAUAUAGACCUUUGCCAUCAUUUUGUAAUUAUUGAUCUUUAAAUCCCAUUAUCGACCUGUGAAAAAAUCCCAUUAUCGAUGAUGCAGAAUCAAGGAUUUUUUUUCUAGUAGGACUCAACAUUUACCAAAAUAAUCCUUCAGACUGACAACUGAACCAAGUAUAGAAAAUUCCCAUUCAAACCUACAACCAUCUAAAACAAGGAAACAACCCAAAAGGUCAAGACCUCAAUAAAAAAACAGAGAAAUCCGGCCCUCUGUAGAUUUUCAAACCCAUUUGACUAUAAACAGUAAAUGUGUUAAUCUCCAUCAAAGGUCACAAAAAAUAUAAAUCACAAUAUCAACAACCUAGCAACCAAAAUUGAUUCUCUGCGGGAACAAUGGUGAAACCAACCUACCAGCCUAAUCAGUUCAAGGAAACAUGGCUGAGAAAUGAAAAAAGGCCUAGCCCUGAACCCAAUUCACUUCAUAACAUCCAAUCCAUUCCAACCCAAAAUCUCUAAACAAAUAGGUGACAGGGCAUCUCCAAUGACGUCCCUCAAAACGACCACAAAUGCGUCAAACCAAUUUUUAUCAUCCAACCCUGGAGCCGCAUAUGUCCGCGGAUGCAUCCGGCCCCCUGAAUUACCACAAAUCAUGCAAAAGCACGGGAAGAUUUCUAGGAGUUCGAGUGUUUGCCUUGCCAAUCAAAAUCCACCACGUACCUCAUGCCACAACCUCUCUCCUCUCUGUUUGCUUUGGAGGGAGGCCGCUGCUAUUUAGUCAAAGGCCAUUGCUUUUUGAUGGAAGUGAGUGGUCAAAAUAACUUGGAGAUCAGUUUGAUUUCUGUUAGAUUCUCUUUGGUGGAAGGUUUGCAUCUCUAACAAGCUAUUUUGGCAGAAGAUCUGCAACUCUCAAUGGUUAUUUGGAGGAAGUGAAUUGGGUUACGGCUCUCACAAGCUAGAAGUCAUUGUAUAUAGUGGAGCACCAUUUAUAUUUGAUGGAAGGCCAAUACUAUUUUCUUAAGUUAAUAGAGGCGGACAUUUGAGGAAUAGGGUUGGAUGACCAGCUCCCAUAUCCGAGUCUAUGGACGUGGCCAUACGCGUUCGCGGAUGUUUAGUGUGUCUGGUUAGCGGCUCAAUAUUGAAGAUGCCCUAACACCAACAAAUCAAGCCUUCCAACACCAACCCCACACAAUUUAUUUUCCUACCCAAGGAAUUUAAACCAAUCACACAAUAUCCUAGCUUCUACAGUGGUUAAUCGCAAAAGGUUAUAGAACGAGCAGAUUAAAACCUUUUGAGACGGAUCUCUUGGCAGCUAACGGGUUGAUCUCGACAACCUCGUCAUUUUCAUCCUCCGUAGAUAUCACGCCAUGCCCGCGAUCCAAGUCGAAGUACCCGGAGUCGGCGUCGAAGUCCUCAAAAUCGGUGUUGAAGGCCUCGUCCUCGUGUCGAAGCCGAGCUCGACCCCAAGCCCGUCGAGCCUCACGAAGCAUCAACUCCGACCACCGCCCUGCCGGGCUUCUUCUUCUCAGGCCACAACACCGCCUCAACCACCCUCCUCGUAACCGUGGGUGGCUUGUGGGCUGCGAGGAUCGUACUAUGCACCUAUGACAUUUAACCAAUAUCUUCUCAUAGUCAUGCCCCUCCCCUGUGCACGUUUAACUGACAUCUUCUCCUAAAUGAUUGGAUGUAAUUUUAAGAUUCUUGUAAAUGACUCAUGGCUAGUUACUCAUUUAUUAGCUCAAGAUUGUACUACGCACCUAUAGUAUGGCUGUACUACUACUAUCAUACACUCUCCGUCCGGGUUUAUUGGACGGGUUCAUCCAACCGAACGUUUAACCAAAAAUCUUCUCAUAAAUGAUUGUGCAUAAUGCUAAAUAAUCUUCUCAUAAAUGAUGGUGUGUAAUGUGAAUAUCUUUGAAAAUCACUCAUAGCUAUUUACGCCAUUUAUUAGCUCAGGAUUAUACUACACACUUGAAUUAUGAGUGUACUACAAUGUUCGUACUCUGCUCGUCCAAGUUUAUUGGACGGGUUCAUCCAACCAAACUUUUAACCAAUUAAUAUCUUCUCAUAAAUGAUUGUAUAUAAUUUUAAGAUCCACGCAAAUAACUCAUAGCUAGUUAUUUCAUUUAUUAGCUCAAGAUUGUAGUACAUCCAACCAAAAGUUUAACCAAUAUCUUCUCAUAAAUGAUUAUGUGUAACAUUAGGAUUUUUGUAAAUCACCUAUAGCUACCCGCUCCAUUUUUCUCAAAGAAACGGAAGCUUACUCCAUUUAGUUACUUGCAUUACUUCAUGUGCAAUCAGUAGCAUUAUCCUAUGGUGGUUAUAUAAAGUGUAAGUUAGCAUUGCAAAUUUCUCAUCGCAUCCUUGAUCUAACCAUGUAUAUGGAGAUCUAACAUUUUUCUAAACUAGCAUGACAUCGUUGCUCUAUGACCCUAUGUCUUGCUUAAUAUUCAACCAAGAUCCCCUUAUAAAUGACUUUGUAACUCUACGAUCCUAGUAAAUCACACAUAUAUACUUACCCCAUUGAGCUACUACCAUGUAUGUGCAAUCAUUAGCAUUAUUAUACAUUUAGUUUGUGAAUUCUAAAUGAGCAUUGCAACUUUUUUAUAUUGCACUCAUGAUCUAACCAUGUAUAUAGAUAUUAUUAACUAUUUUUGUAAAGUAACAUGGCAACGUUGCUUCACGACUUUGUGUCUUAGUUGACACCGAGAAGAAAUAAUUUGAGAGUGGUUUCGUUUCUUGUGAGAAGUGUGACUAUCUGAUGCAUGAACGAAGCAACAACUCUGGGUCAAAAUAUAUAAUUUGCUUAGAAAAUCUACUCAUGAGUUUUUUAUACUCAAAUAUCAUAAAAUUGUGCAAACCAUAAAUACAAAACUUUAGGAAUAUCCAAGAGCUAACAAUACACAUGGUUUAUCAACCUUUGUCCUACGUAAGAAUGGGACUAGAAAUGUAACUUGGGUGCGGUAUUUCUAGGUUGGUUGAUGCAUAAAUAACAUUGUUACCUAGGGAUCGAUACAUAAAUGUGUGUGGUCGCUCUAUUUACAGAGAGAAAAGGAGUGUAAAUCGCGUGAAAUUGAAAAGGUACGAGUGUAAACCACACAAAACUGGGAAACAUAAGUGUAAACCACGUGAAAAUAAAAAAUGACUAUUGCGGCCAGGCUUAUACACGGUUUUAAACUUUUGUUUCCUACCUAAAAAUGAGAAAUUGUGGUAGUAAAAAAUGUUCUUACAGCAAACAAGGAUGAAAAGUGACCCUAACACAUGGAUUAAAAGCAGUUAUCGCGACAUGGGACAGAUACCUUUGGAGAGGGACCUCCUGAUGGCGACAAACGGCUUGAUCUCGACAAUCUCAUCGUUGUUAUCCUCAUCAGCCACUCCAUCAUGCCUGAGCUCCAAGUCGGAGUCCCCGGAGUCGACCUCGAACUCCUCGUAGUCGUUCUCCAUCUUGAGCCCGAUCCCAAACUUGCUGAGCCCCAAGAAGUGUCGUUUGUCGAGUCUUCUUCUUCUCAAGCAAAUGGUAGAGGUUCGUGAGGAUCACACCGUCGCAUAUGGCCGCUAGCACCUCAUCAUAGUCAUUGGGGAAAAGGAUCCUCUCCGGAAUUGGUAAAUUGGUAUAUGUUUUAAUGAAACGGAGGAGUGGGUGUGUAGGUUGGCAGAUGGGGUCGAGGACAGCCUCGUAUAUCGCGGUGGACACAUGAAUGUGUCACCCUUGUGAGGGGGUGCAUGGUGGGGCCCAUACAUCGGUGAGGGGCCAUGGAGCGGGUGAAAGGCAUGAUGUAGGUUCUGGAAGUGGGCAUUUCCAUUCGGGGAAAUAUUUUGCGUCGGCCCCUUGAGAGAAUUGGUAUUUCUGGUAUACCCCUAGGAAAUGAAUGGGCGGAGAAUUGAUUUUUUAUCUUUAGUAGCACGCCAUUUAUUUUCUCAAGACUAUACGACACCCCUUCCCUAAGAAAAAUUUUUACGACACUCAUGUACUACUAUAUUAUAUUUGUAUUGUACUCACUAGCAUUGUCCAACAAAGAUAUUAAGCGAAGAUAUCUAGGUCAUCCUUUCAAAUCACUCAUGGCCACUAGUCCAUUGAGUUAUUACCAGAAACACUACUUCAUUGAGUUAGUAGCAUGUAUGUGCAAUCAUUAGCAUUAUCAUUAUACAUGUUAGUUAUAUGAAUGGGUUUGUUUAGGGCAAGUCUGGAUGUGAAAGAAUUAUGUCACAUCUUCAUCAUUUUGUUGUUGGGCCGAGCCUUUAGUGGGUUAGAUUGUUGUGGGUGAGUGCUUUGUUAGGAAAUUUUAAGAUGGGCUUUUUAUUCUUUGCAAGUUGGAUUAUUUUAUUAAUCCUUUAAAGGAUGAUGGAGUACCCGCCUCCUAGGGGGCUUCACUGGCAAGAGUGUCCUCUGCGCCAUCCUUUUCCAGGUUGCGUGCCGCAUGGAUCUCUCGGGGUUUCUCCAUGUCGUCCGAUCUUCCCAGACGACGCUCAACAGGAUGACCCACCUUGGUUGUCCAUGUGCAUUUGCAUUCAAACGCAAUUUUUUUAAUAAUGCACAAAUUUAGAGGGAGCUCUUGCUUAUCACAUACUUCUCAAAGCGAUGAUGUAUUCUAUUCACUUAAUCAUUUGACGAAACUUUGAUCUAUAUGUUGUCAUCAAUUACCAAAAGGGGGGAGAUUGAAGUGCAACUAAUCCCCGGGUGGUUUUGGUAAUUCAUAAAAACAUAUAUCUCAUUGAACUAAUAUCCAUUUAAGAUAAGUAUUUCAAGAUGUUCAAUGAUUGGCAUGGCAUGAAAUAGAGAUGUGUACCCCUCCAAAUGCUAAGGACAAGGAUUGGCAAAAGCUCAAGACUUUUCAUUUCUAUUUUACUGAUCCAAGAUCACAUUGAGUCCAUGGGAAAAUCCAAUACUAUUAAAAGGGGAUGAGGUGUUGCUUAAUGGUCUACUUGCUCAAGUGUUUAGUGAUAUUGCUCCAAAACCCUCAGUGACUUUAUCUAUCCAAAUUUUUCCAAACCCUAAUUCCAAACUCGGCCCCACGGAUACUUCUCAUCCGGAGCCACCGAGUUCAUGCUGACAUAGCCACUGCCAAAACCCUAACAGUUCAGUCACACCGAUAUGGAUCUCGGUGUCACCAAGAUGGCCUUGCCAGCACUCUGUGACUUGUUGCAUUCACUUCGGUCUCACCGAGAUGUUGCAAUCGGUCCCACCAAGUUGGCUUGACUGAUUCUCUAUUGCUUAUUGCUUCACUUCAAUCCCACCGAGUUGAUGCAAUCGGCGCCACCGAGUUGAAGUUUUCCCUAAGCCCUGGCACAUUGAUCCCACCGAGAUUCCUAACGUUCAUAUUUUUGUACUGGUUGGUGCCACCGAGUUUACUAAUUGGUGCAACCGAGACGGGUCAAAAGUCUGUAAUGGUUGGAUUUUGUGUGGAGGCUAUAUAUACCCCUCCACCCCUCCUUCAUAAGUGAGGAGAGCCAUCAGAACGUGCCUACACUUCCACCAUCCAUUUUCUGAUAGAACCACCUACUCAUGUGUUGAGAUCAAGAGAUUUCAUUCCUACCAUUUGAACCUUGAUUUCUAGCCUUCCCCAAGUUGCUUUCUACUCAAAUCCUUCUGUCACCAUAGCCAAAUCUGUGAGAGAGAGUUGAGUGUUGGGGAGACUAGCAUUUGAAGCACAAGAGCAAGGAGUUCAUUAUCAACACAUCAUCUAUUAUAUUUUGGAGAGUGGUGUCUCCCAUAUUGGUUAGGUGUUGCUUGGGAGCCUCAGACAAGAUGUGGAGUUGAACCAAGAAGUUUGUAAGGGCAAGGAGAUCGCCUACUUCAUGAAGAUCUACCCGAGUGAGGCGAGUCUUUCGUGGGAGAUGGUCAUGGUGAGAUAGACAAGGUUGCUUCUUCGUGGACCCUUCGUGGGUGGAGCCCUCCAUGGACUCGUGCAGCCGUUACCCUUUCUGGGUUGAAGUCUCAAUCAGUGUGGACAUAUGAUAGCACCACCUAUCGGAACCACGCCAAAAAUAUUCGUGUCUCCGUUGUGUUUGCGUUCUCCAAACCCUUCCAUUUACCUUCAUAUGCAAUGCUUUAUUUCCGCUGCUAUACUCUUAGAAUUGCAUGUGUAGGGAAAAGGAUAGAUUUUUAUUUGGUCAAGUAGUCUAAUCACCCCUCCCCCCCUCCCAGACAUACUUUCGAUCUACAGUUCCCCUACAGGAGAGAAGAGUUGGAGCGAUCUCAGCGAUAGACUGUCCUUGGAGCCAAUGGUCGCACCAGAACCGGCACAUCCUGCCAUCCCCGAUGGUCGAGUUCGUGGAAGCAUGGAGGAAUUUACUAGUUUCCUCGUCCCUGGGAAGUUGGAGGUGGCUCCAUGGGCGGGCGGGAUCAGUAGCCUGCAGCCAUAGCCAAUGAGCGUGCAGUGCGAUGUCGAUGCGGUGAAUAUCGUGAAUGGCCUGGCCUCCAAGCUCAAGAGGUCGAGAGAUCUUUGGCCAUCUGACAAGGCAGCAGCCGGCCCUAGCUUCUUUACGGCCAUGCCACAAGAAGUCGCGGACCACUAUUGUGAUCUUCUUGAGGAUGGAGGGGUUUAUGGCCAUGGCGAGUAAGAUAUGCACCGGCAUGGCCGUGAGAACGUGGUGAACAAGAGCGAGUCGCUCGCCGCGCGAGAGGAGGGAAGCUUUCCAAGUGGCCAGCUUUUUCACCAAUCUGUCCACGAGCGGGAGGAGUGUCGAGGCGUGAAUCUUGCGGACCGAGAGCGGUAGUCCGAGGUAAGGGACGGGAAAAGUGGUCACAGUGCAUGAUAGCAUGGCCGCAAUGGUGUCAACCACCUCGGGGCGCACUGGAUUGGGGUUGCUGAUCACUUCAUGCAGUUUGUGCGAAGUCCGGAGGCAUCGCUGAAGAUGUGGAGGAGCUCCCGAAUGGUCGCCAGCUCCGCUGGGUUCGGGUGACAAAAGACGACCACGUCAUCUGCAAAUAGGGAAAUACUUGAUGCGGCGUGGCGCGUGGUGAGGCGCUGCAGCAUGCCGGAGGACACCGAUGUGCUAAAGCAGGUUGAUGAGCUUGUCGAUGAUGGUUGCGAAGAGCAUAGGAGACAAGGGGUCACCCUACCGCAGGCCUCAGGCAUGGUCAAUCGGCGGGCCCUGGUUGCCGUUUAGGAGGACGCGGGUCGAAGCCGUGGAUGUGAGUAUGGAUAUCCACUCACACUAGCAUCGACCAAAUCCGAGGUGCACCAAAACCUCGAGGAGAAAGGUCCAGGACACAGUGUCAAAAGCCUUCGCAAUGUCCAGCUUGAGGAGAACUCUCAUCUCCUUGAGGUUGUGAAGGAGCCAGGCGGUCUGUUGCACUUGGAGGAAAUUGACGCAAACACAUCUCCCAGCAAUGAAUGCACUCCGGUUGACGGAGACAAUUUCCCCCAUACGGGGCGAGCCAAAGGGACAGGACCUUGGCAAAUAGCUUUGCCAGGAUGUGAUCAAGCUGAUGGGCCGGUAGUCCGUGAGCGCCGCCGCUUCGCGUCUCCUGGGCAGGAGCAAAAGCAAGGCUUCAUUAAGUUUGUGAAAACCACGGCCGUUCAUGGCAUAGAGCUUCUCGAAGGCCGCGCAAAUGUCACCCUUCAUGAUGGGCCAGCAAGCACGUAGGAACUCCAAAGUGAAUCCAUCCGGCCCGGGCGCUUUCCCGGUGGGCAUUUUCUUGAUAGCUUCCCGUAUCUCGGCCUCGGAGAACGGCAGGUCAAGCUUAGACAAGUCGAAGUUUCUGCUGUCGAUGGUCUCUAGGCAGAUGGAGUGAUCUCGCGGAGUGGAGGAGCCAAGAAUGGUGGUGAAGUGUUUGUAGGCCGCCUGAGACAUGGCGCUCUCCUAGGCAACGCUGAUAUCGAGUUCUUUAUUGUUGAACGAAGGGCUCCUUGAUUAACUUGUCCGCAAGUAGCUGGUUUGUUGUGAGUAGUUUGUGGUAAAUCAAUAUGAACGGUUGUGUUUUCUAUGGCAAUUAAAUGCAUCGAUCGAUAUGCAUAGACAAUAAUACUCCUGUAUUGAUUGAUAGUUCGUAGAUAUAUUAGAUUUGUGUUGGCCGGUGCAAAUUAAGAAUCCAAACUGUAGGGUUCUUGAACUCACGGUACGUAUCUCAGUUUAGUCAUUUUCACUCAUUUGAUGUCUCCUACUUCACAAGUCUCUGUGAACCUGCUAUGUUUAGAUAGGCAAGACCAUUCAGGGUCUGUUGUGUUGAUAUACUACACAGUUUUGCAUUUGCUAAUUGCAGUCCUGAGGUUAAAAUUCAGAUAACAUAUGGAUGCUUCAAUAUUUGGAUAUUGGUCUGUUGUGCGCUACCUGGUGCAAAUUAAGGAAAUUGUACUCCCAUUCAUCAACUUACUGUUGAUCUCUGCCUAUGUAACUGAUUCCUGAUAACAGAUUUUGUAGGGCGCGGCGAUGAACAUGGAUCUGCUUCUGUGUAUCGUCAGGGCCGGCUCUGGGGGUAGGCCACCUUGGCCUGGGCCAAGGGCCCCGGUCUGGGAGGGCCCAUCAUCAAAUACAUAUAAGACUAUACAUCUAUUUGGCUGGAAAAAAAUGAAUCAGUACAGGCCCAGCCCAACUACAGGAGAGGAAAAGGCACGACGCCUGGCAUACUACAUUGAUCGAUUCGAUCGAUUGAAUCGCAUCUCGGCAUCUGCGUCUGGUCCUGGUUGCCUCGGGGGCUCGUCCGCCUCCGCCUGCUGCUUUCUCUGUCUCUCGAAGACUCGCACGGACGCCCGGCCGGCCAGCCGCCGGCUGCUGCAAUCAGGUGGCCCUUUAAUCCUUGAUUCCGUGAUUUCCGUCUUGAUUUUCUUUGUACGGUUGAUUUUCUUGCUUUUUUGGCGUAAACGUAUUUAUCUUUUCAGUUUCAUCAUAUUUCUAGUCGUAUUGAUCUAUUGAAGCAUUAUUGUCUAUGAAUUAGAAUUUGGAUCUAUUUAAGGUAAUCAAACUAGCAGGGAAUAUUGUUUCUCAUACUUAAUAUUUUGCUACUUUAUUAGUCUUCCUUUCAUGAUAUGACAUAGUCUGCGUGAUUAUCAAUAUUUUAUAUGUUAUACGUCUCAGAAUAAUAAAAUAUGAUCGGAUAUGUGUACAUAUAUAUUACCUAUAAGGGCCCUUUUUCAACUUGGCCAAGGGCCCCGAAAAACAUAGAGCCGGCCCUGUGUAUCAUGUUAGCACGCUGGAGAAGGCGAGAAACUGAGGCUUCGGUCAUUCACCUGUGGGAACCUUCGUUUGUCUUGACGAAGGAUAUGAAUUCUACAAUGUUUAUUCCUUGGAAUAUGGUUUUGGAGUUAGGUGUGGAGCGAGCAGUAUGGAUUCUCAUGGAACUAAAUGCAUAUAGCAAUUCGUUUGCGCGUGUGAGGUAUGCAAUUAUCCUCCCCUUGUAAUUAGUAGUUAGUACUUUUGCUCUUUGUGUUAUUUAUCAUCUUGGCGGUCUCAUAGUAAUAUCGACAAGAACACGAGGGACUUGAUUUGCCGACUAAGGGAAAACAAUGUGCCCACACAUUGCUGAUAUUGGAGCAAAGAAUUUGUGGUAUGAGGAUCUCAGUAAGACCUUGAAAACCUUGCUAGGAUCUCAGUAAGACCUUGAAAACCUUGCUAGGACCUUGAAGCUUCAUUAUGAGUUAGUAAAAACGCCCUUUAUCCAAAAAAAGGAUCAAAGCAGAGGAUCCAACAUUCCAGUAUACUUUUCAGGUUGGUAGUAACUGUAGAGUGAGGCCACUACUCUGGACCAGUGGCCAGAACCUCCAGUACAAACACUUUGACGAUGUGAUUAUCUUCGACCCCAUCUACAGAUCGAACAUGUAUGAAAAACCGUUCGGCCUAUUUGUUGGGGUCAACAACAACUUCAAGACCAUCGGCAGGGUGAUGAUGAGAGAUGGAAAAAUAGACCGGUAAGAUUACUUCCGUACACUCUUCUCCCUACCCAACAUUAUCUUAUGCAAACAUUAUUAUUUUUUGAGAUUGAUUUACUUGGUCAUUUCCUCUGUACAGGACAUGUGUGCUGUUCUGAAAAAGGAGCUUCUGUGUUGGUGGUAGCCGUGAUGGUAGUUUUACACAGAGUUGUAGCACGGGAAAGUGUGCCUCAUAAUUCGGAACGAGAUCCUCUCACGUAGAACAAAACUACUGCAGAGGGACGUCCAACACGGAUCACCGUCCGUGCAGCAUCCAAUGGCAACGGCUAAACACUGGCAAAACAUAGCGAAGCCAUCGGCCCAUGAGGACGAUGCGGCCCAGUCCAAUGAGAUGGUGCGAGGACGACAAAAACGCAUGAGGUCGACGGAACGCGAUAGUUUAAGUGAACACGGUGUCUUGCUCAUCGAUUUGUACGUAAAUUGUGAAUCUCUCCCUUUCUUUUCCCAUCUUGAAAUUCGCUUUAAUAAUAAGAGUGGAAUUAGUCGAGCUGUCGUCAUCAGAUUUGUUUUGAAUUCGAUAAAGCUUUGCGCUCCUCUACGUCGAUUUUGUAAUUAGGGCAACUCGAACGCGCCGACACAAUGAGCCAUGUAUGUCCGUUUGCAUUGAAAUGUAUAUUGGAGGUCGACGCAACUCCAAUGCGCCGACGCAAACGUGUGCGGAUUUUGCUCGCUUUUUUCCGUUUGGUCGACCGAGCGGACGCGUGUUAGAGUUGCCCUAAUUACAAGAUUAACGCAGAGUUGCACAAAGAUUUAUCGAAUUCAAAACAAAUCUGAUGACGAUAGUUCGACUAAUUCCACUCUUAUUAUUAAAGCAAAUCUCAAGAUGGCAAAAGAAAGGCAGAGAUUUACAAUUUACGUACAAAUCGAUCAGCCGGGCACCGUGUUCACUUAAGCUAUCGCGUUCCGCCGACCUCGUGCGCUUUUGUCGUCCUCGCACCAUCUCAUUGGACUGGGCCGCAUCAUGCUCAUGGGCCGAUGGCUUUGCUAUGUUCUGCCGGUGUUUAGCCAUUGCCAUUGGAUGCUGCACGGACGGUGAUCCGUCUCGGACGUCCCUCUGCAGUAGUUUUGUUCUACGUCAGAGGAUCUCGUUCCCAUAAUUCGUUGGCCGUAAACCAUUAGGGUCAAUUUGAUAUUAUUGGCUAAUUCCGAAAUGUAUAAAUAUAGUAUAUUUCCUCUAUUCCUAAAUAUAACUUUUUUUAGAGAUUUUAAUAUAAACUAUAUAUGGAUGUAUAUAGACGUAGUUUAGAGUGUAGAUUCAUUCAUUUUACUAUAUAUUUUACUCCGUAUGUAGUCCAUAUUAAGAUGUCUAAAAAGACUUAUAUUUAGAAACAUAUAACUUCCUGCAUUGACAGCAGUAAGCUGCCUCACUUCAUUAGUCCGGCGAGAAUUACACUUCGAUUCCCACCCAGGCACCUAUUUAAUUACAGUGUUUCACAGAUGUUUUUUAAAACUAGACGUAUUGUUUCCUUCUUUUUCCUAAAUGCAUCCGCUGCCCUGUAUGCGCUAAUCAAGUUUGCCUAAAAAGUAAAAUCAGCUCGUAGACACUCACGGGUAUAUUUACUACGUAGAAGCGUGACCAAGGCAUAGAAUAAACAUAAUUUUGUUCGUGCUUUGUUUGGUCCAAAUAUGCAGUGUGAAAGAAGAUAUUAUUUGUAAAUUCUGCUUGUGUAGGGCGAGAAUGGAUGGAAGAAAUCGUGUAUUCAGUUUCUGUUUUUGUUUAUUUAAAAUAGGACGACGAUAACUGUCACACGUGUGGCUGUUAAGGGAUCUGCCCACACGUUUUGUGUGGUGUCUAAGAGGAUCAGCUCACACGCCUACGUGUGGGCAAAAUAACUAGCGUCCACACGUCUUUUAUUUUUCCUAGCGGGCCCUCUCACACGCCUACGUGUGGGCAAAUUGCAUAACGCCCACACGACCUCUCUCAGCCACCUACCUCACGUCCCGCACGCCCAGCGUGACAGUCACCACGCGUCCCUGCAGUUGCCAUGGUCCGGACCCUCUCCAAUGUCCGUUUACCUGCAGUUGCCAUGUCGCUGAAUUACAGUUGCCAUGUCGGACAACUACAGUUGCCAUGGUUGCUCAACUGCAGUUGCCAUCUCAGGUCAAGUGCCAGAUGCCAUUUUGGACAACUGCAGCUGUUGCCAUGUAUGGUCUGGUUUACUAUAGUUGCCAUGAUUUGAAAACUUUAGAUGUUGCCACCUACUAACACUAAGCAGUUGCCAUGUAUGGUCUGGUUUACUACAGUUGUCGUGAUUUGAAAACCUUAGGAGUUGCCACCUACUAACACUAGGCAGUUGCCGUGUAGCGCUACAAAGAGAUAUGGCAAAACAACAUGUUCGGGUAAAAGAGAGAGUUGCCAUCUGCUUACAAGCACAUUAGUGCAGUUGUCGUGUACCCUGCAAAACAUAUGGCAACUGACAUGUUCGGGUAAAAAAAAGAGAGAGUUGCCAUCUACUUACAAGCACACUAGGGCAGUUGCCAUGUACACUGCAAAGCGCAUGGCAACUGGCAGCUUGGAUGUGGGAAAGGAGACGGGCGUGUGGGCGAGAUGGAAAAUGCCCACACAGCAGCCCUUGUGCGUGAGUGAAAACUGGCGUGUGGGCGAACUACUAAACGCUCACACACCGUCCCCUCCGUGUGGUGAAACAGACGUGGGGCGACCGAGUGAAUGCCCACACACCAGCCCAGUCCUACAUGGCACCACAAGCAUGCUAAGAUUCGUGCACCCACAAACGGACAUGGAUUCACGCAUGUGGGCGAGAUGCAAACGCCCAUACGUGUGGGCUUUAGUGUUCCCGUUAAAAUAUCUAUAUACUUGUGGUUUUUAAAUUGUUCAUUACCCUUCUUCAAUUUUUUUGUUAUCUUUGAUCUCCUUCCUCAAUCCUUUGGACAUCAUCAAAUAUUUAUCCCGUCACAACGUUGGACACCUUAUACUAUCUUUCUAGAAGAUAGGUGGUACCAAAUCAAGAAAUUCUUUGAAAACAAAUUUGUUGUAUAAAUGGCCCAUAUUAAGAGGAUUCACUUAUGUAUUUGUUUGCAAAGAAAAUUGCAGCUUCCUUUUACAAGAUGAAAAUAUGCUAAUUUUCAUUUGUCAUAGGGGCAGAUUAAAUUCUGAAGGAGGCUCCGCUGAACCUAUAGGAUGCAUUGUUUGGACAACGGCUCGUAGCAACGCACCAGCAUAUUUACUAGUGGCUUCUCAUAUCGAGAGAGGUUGAGGGGCGGUAGAACACAAUUCUAUAAGAAUGCACUGAAAAUGGAAGAGAUCCCUCAAAUUGGUCAGUUCACCAGUCAGAUUGAUUAUUUUCUCCAUAACUGGAGGCACCCCUGAGUUGUACUCCCUCCGUUCGGAAUUACUUGUCGCGAAAAUGGAUGUAUCUAGACGUAUUUUAGUUCUAGAUACAUCCAUAUUCGAGACAAGUAAUUUCGAACAGAGGGAGUAGGUGUUACUGUAGACAAGAUUGUCUCCUUCGGCAAAUGCUAGAAAUCUGAGCAAUGGAUGAUAUAGUAGUAUAUGGAGUCUGGAUGUCAUACUCCCACCCCAAGUCAGAGCAGCCAAAGGAGUUACUUCCCUAGUCAGACAAAGGAGUUUCUGCUUUUGUUUAUUUAAAAUAUCUAUAUACUUGUGGCUCUUAAAUUGUUCAUUACCGUUUUUCAAUUUUUUGUUAUGUUUGAUCUCCUUCCUCAAUCCUUUGGACAUCAUCAAAUAUUUAUCCCGUCACAACGUUGGACACCUUAUACUAUCUUUACAGAAGAUAGGUGGUACCAAAUCAAGAAAUUCUUUGAAAACAAAUUUGUUGUAUAAAUGGCCCAUAUUAAGAGGAUUCACUUAUGUAUUUGUUUGCAAAGAAAAUUGCAGCUUCAUUUUACAAGAUGAAAAUAUGCUAAUUUUCAUUUGUCAUAGGGGCAGAUUAAAUUCUGAAGGAGGCUCCGCUGGACCUAUAGGAUGCAUUGUUUGGACAACGGCCCAUAGCAAUGCACCAGCAUAUUUACUAGUGGCUUCUCAUAUCGAGAGAGGUUGAGGGGCGGUAGAACGCAAUUCUAUAAGAAUGCACUGAAAAUGGAAGAGAUCCCUCAAAUUGGUCAGUUCACCAGUCAGAUUGAUUAUUUUCUCCAUAACUGGAGGCACCCCUGAGUUGUACUCCCUCCGUUCGGAAUUACUUGUCGCGAAAAUGGAUGUAUCUAAACGUAUUUUAGUUCUAGAUACAUCCAUAUUCGAGACAAGUAAUUCCGAACGGAGGAAGUAGGUGUUACUGUAGACAAGAUUGUCUCCUUCGGCAAAUGCUAGAAAUCUGAGCAAUGGAUGAUAUAGUAGUAUAUGGAGUCUGGAUGUCAUACUCCCACCCCAAGUCAGAGCAGCCAAAGGAGUUACUUCCCUAGUCAGACAAAGGAGUUUCUGCUUUUGUUUAUUUAAAAUAUCUAUAUACUUGUGGCUCUUAAAUUGUUCAUUACCGCUCUUCAAUUUUUUGUUAUGUUUGAUCUCCUUCCUCAAUCCUUUGGACAUCAUCAAAUAUUUAUCCCGUCACAACGUUGGACACCUUAUACUAUCUUCACAGAAGAUAGGUGGUACCAAAUCAAGAAAUUCUUUGAAAACAAAUUUGUUGUAUAAAUGGCCCAUAUUAAGAGGAUUCACUUAUGUAUUUGUUUGCAAAGAAAAUUGCAGCUUCAUUUUACAAGAUGAAAAUAUGCUAAUUUUCAUUUGUCAUAGGGGCAGAUUAAAUUCUGAAGGAGGCUCCGCUGGACCUAUAGGAUGCAUUGUUUAGACAACGGCCCGUAACAACGCACGGGCAUAUUUACUAGUGGCUUCUCAUAUCGAGAGGGGUUGAGGGGCGGUAGAACGCAAUUCUAUAAGAAUGCACUGAAAAUGGAACAGAUCCCUCAAAUUGGCCAGUUCACCAGUCAGAUUGAUUAUUUUCUCCAUAACUGGAGGCACCCCUGAGUUGUACUCCCUCCGUUCGGAAUUACUUGUCGCGAAAAUGGAUGUAUGUAGACGUAUUUUAGUUCUAGAUACAUCCAUAUUCGAGACAAGUAAUUCCGAACGGAGGGAGUAGGUGUUACUGUAGACAAGAUUGUCUCCUUCGGCAAAUGCUAGAAAUCUGAGCAAUGGAUGAUAUAGUAGUAUAUGGAGUCUGGAUGUCAUACUCCCACCCCAAGUCAGAGCAGCCAAAGGAGUCACUUCCCUAGUCAGACAAAGGAGUUUCUGCUUUUGUUUAUUUAAAAUAUUUAUAUACUUGUGGCUCUUAAAUUGUUCAUUACCGUUCUUCAAUUUUUUGUUAUGUUUGAUCUCCUUCCUCAAUCCUUUGGACAUCAUCAAAUAUUUAUCCCGUCACAAUGUUGGACACCUUAUACUAUCUUUACAGAAGAUAGGUGGUACCAAAUCAAGAAAUUCUUUGAAAACAAAUUUGUUGUAUAAAUGGCCCAUAUUAAGAGGAUUCACUUAUGUAUUUGUUUGCAAAGAAAAUUGCAGCUUCAUUUUACAAGAUGAAAAUUUGCUAAUUUUCAUUUGUCAUAGGGGCAGAUUAAAUUCUGAAGGAGGCUCCACUGGACCUAUAAGAUGCAUUGUUUGGACAACGGCCCGUAGCAACGCACCAGCAUAUUUACUAGUGGCUUCUCAUAUCGAGAGAGGUUGAGGGGCGGUAGAACGCAAUUCUAUAAGAAUGCACUGAAAAUGGAAUAGAUCCCUCAAAUUGGUCAGUUCACCAGUCAGAUUGAUUAUUUUCUCCAUAACUGGAGGCACCCCUGAGUUGUACUCCCUCCGUUCGGAAUUACUUGUCGCGAAAAUGGAUGUAUCUAAACGUAUUUUAGUUCUAGAUACAUCCAUAUUCGAGACAAGUAAUUCCGAACGGAGGAAGUAGGUGUUACUGUAGACAAGAUUGUCUCCUUCGGCAAAUGCUAGAAAUCUGAGCAAUGGAUGAUAUAGUAGUAUAUGGAGUCUGGAUGUCAUACUCCCACCCCAAGUCAGAGCAGCCAAAGGAGUUACUUCCCUAGUCAGACAAAGGAGUUUCUGCUUUUGUUUAUUUAAAAUAUCUAUAUACUUGUGGCUCUUAAAUUGUUCAUUACCGUUCUUCAAUUUUUUGUUAUGUUUGAUCUCCUUCCUCAAUCCUUUGGACAUCAUCAAAUAUUUAUCCCGUCACAACGUUGGACACCUUAUACUAUCUUUACAGAAGAUAGGUGGUACCAAAUCAAGAAAUUCUUUGAAAACAAAUUUGUUGUAUAAAUGGCCCAUAUUAAGAGGAUUCACUUAUGUAUUUGUGUUGCGAGAAAAUUGCAGCUUCAUUUUACAAGAAAAUAUGCUAAUUUUCAUUUGUCAUAGGGGCAGAUUAAAUUUUGAAGGAGGCUCUGCUGGACCUAUAGGAUGCAUUGUUUAGACAACGGCCCGUAACAACGCACGGGCAUAUUUACUAGUGGCUUCUCAUAUCGAGAGGGGUUGAGAGGCCGUAGAACGCAAUUCUAUAAGAAUGCAUUGAAAAUGGAACAGAUCCCUCAAAUUGGUCAGUUCACCAGUCAGAUUGAUUAUUCUUCUCCAUAACUGGAGGCACCCCUGAGUUGUAGGUGUUACUGUAGACAAGAUUGUCUCCUUCGGCAAAUGCUAGAAAUCUCAGCAAUGGAUGAUAUAGUAGUACUAUAUGGAGUCCCAGCCCAAGUCAGAGCAGCCAAAGGAGUUAGUACUUCCCUAGUCAGACGAUAAGUACCCAUAGAUGCCUCGUUAAUGCCAGCAUACUUGUGUCCACUGUCCAGGCUACAACACUACCAUGGGUCCACAACAUAUACGUGAGGUAUUUGUUUGCUCACCAACAAAAAUCAGUCCACUCUAUUUAAAGGGAAGAAAGAGCCACCAGAACUCAAACAAACACAAUUGUUGUUCUUAAAACGAGGAGAGGACUGGUGCAAUGCCAAAAUGGUAGCCCCAAAUAGUUGUGUGAUUGGACUAGAAUUAGGAGUCAUCGGGAAGAAAACAACUGGCUUCUCCAUAACAGCCUCCAGCAAGCUCAAGAAAUAUAGCAGGUCCAGUACUAAUACCUGUAUGUAUAUGCGCUAAUGGCCGGAGAUUACCUACCCAAUUAUGUCACUUUUAAGCCCAAAGUCCGUGGAAACUACCUAGGUGAAUACCUUUGGUGAACGCCAUGUGAUUGUCGAGUAACAAUAACUUACUCAUCGUAAGAAGGUGACGUGCACUACUUAUGACGACGAUGUCAAAUCAAAUCAACAAUAAGCCCACCAAUUCAGGCUGAAGCACAGGCGCUGAAGCUAGCUGCCAUGCUAGCCAAGCCAAGCAAAUGCAUAUGCAGGACGCCACGUUUCUAACAGACUACCUAACGCUAGCGAAAGCAGCCGCAGCAAGAAAUCCAAGGAACCAUCCUCCCGGGCGCUGAAAAAUCAGAUCAGCUCUUGUAGAUUUCUGUGUAUUUACAAGUACUUUAUCAGCUCAGGUCUAUAUCACAUAUCCAGGACUUUCAAUGAAAGCGCUCACAUCUUCGCUCAACGGUCGACAGUCAGGACACUGUCGCUACCACAGUUUUUUAGCGGCAAUAGUUCUACCCACGAUUAGAAUGCAAUGCCCAAUGUUUCACAGAUUUUAUCCCCGAGGGCUUUGCUAUCCUCAGUGUAAUCUGUGCUUCGGUGGAAUAUAUGGCGCCUGCGCCUUUUCUUGUUCAGAGAAAAAGAAUGCGAUGUGCACUACUUAUGCCGACGACUUCGAAUCAAAUCAAGGACCUAACAUGACAAUGACAUGAGACCACCAAUUCGGUGAAGGUACUAGUAAUAAAUCAAGUGAAAUGUACAUGUUGUUCACAUGGCUUCUCACAUCGAGAGGGACUGAGAGACAGUAAAGUGCAUUGCUAUAAAGAAUGCACUGAAAUGGAAUAGAAUGGAACAGAUCCCUGGAAUUAUGAAUUAGGCGCCCUAAAUAUUUAUAAGAACUACUCCCUCCGUCGACGUUUUUUUAUUCUAGUGUAGUGUCAAAAAAAAACGUCUUACAUUAUGGGACAGAGGGAGUACAUCGGUGAGAACUAAAUGUAGAAAAAAUGACUCCCGAUGAUCAUGCAGCUAGUAUCAAAAAUUAGUAAAUCUGGGUUUUUUUAAACAAAUCUGGUAUGUUUUGCCAGAGCCUAAGUGAAAAGAGGAGUAUAAUAUAAAUUACCACACCUGUACAGCAAAAACUGUGCAAACAGCCAGGAAAAUCCAUAUUUAACAGAUAAACUUAUGCUCAGAAAUAAGAUAUAUAGGUUACUUCUAUUACCACAGAUUAAAGCAAACUGGACACAGAUCCAUGCUGUUCACAUUCAGAAAUGGUAGCGACGAUAUAAGAGUUGACAAAAGAUAAAGACAACGGUUCGUCAGACUCAUAAAUGACAACGGUUCAUCGACAGUCACCUAGGGAAAGGGUCGACUACUAAAGAGACUCAGGAUGCGACUUUUUUGCAUCUAAGCUUGCACAUAGGCAUAUACUAACCAAAGGUGACAACAGGGUGCUUCCCAAUCUCCCAUAGUCUUAUUCCUGAAACACGCAACAAAAAGUUCAGGAUAAUGAAAAGAUUAUCAACCUCAGACCGAACAUCCAAAUUGCGAAGGCUUACCCUUUGUCCUGAUAUACAGGGGUUUGAAUCCCUCAGAAAAUUUUGCCACAGAUGGGCAUGUCAUCGAAGCUCCAAAGGUCCAUGUUGCCAACGACAUCCUGAGGCACAUCAAAAUUCAGAAGGCUAUCAAUCGGCUCAUCCACGCCAUCAUCCAAAAGAAACCUCAUCCAAGGUUCAAAAUCAACAGCAUUGUUCUCCAUAACAGGAGGCACCACUGAGUUGUAGGUGUUGCUCUGGACAGGCGCAGAUUCAGCUCCUUCAGCAAUCACCGCUGGGUUGUAGGUUUUACUCUGGAGAACUGCAG